This 616-nucleotide ribosomal RNA is filed under the name uncultured Lachnospiraceae bacterium. Its description in RNAcentral is "bacterial SSU rRNA". It matches the Rfam family "Bacterial small subunit ribosomal RNA", at positions 73 to 701 of the family's 1533-position model. Lineage: Bacteria; Bacillati; Bacillota; Clostridia; Lachnospirales; Lachnospiraceae. The record is from RNAcentral.
GUUUUCGGAUGGAAUCUUGAUUGACUGAGUGGCGGACGGGUGAGUAACGCGUGGAUAACCUGCCUCACACUGGGGGAUAACAGUUAGAAAUGACUGCUAAUACCGCAUAAGCGCACAGUGCCGCAUGGCAGUGUGUGAAAAACUCCGGUGGUGUGAGAUGGAUCCGCGUCUGAUUAGCCAGUUGGCGGGGUAACGGCCCACCAAAGCGACGAUCAGUAGCCGACCUGAGAGGGUGACCGGCCACAUUGGGACUGAGACACGGCCCAAACUCCUACGGGAGGCAGCAGUGGGGAAUAUUGCACAAUGGGCGAAAGCCUGAUGCAGCGACGCCGCGUGAGUGAAGAAGUAUUUCGGUAUGUAAAGCUCUAUCAGCAGGGAAGAAAAUGACGGUACCUGACUAAGAAGCCCCGGCUAACUACGUGCCAGCAGCCGCGGUAAUACGUAGGGGGCAAGCGUUAUCCGGAUUUACUGGGUGUAAAGGGAGCGUAGACGGCGAAGCAAGUCUGAAGUGAAAACCCAGGGCUCAACCCUGGGACUGCUUUGGAAACUGUUUUGCUAGAGUGUCGGAGAGGUAAGUGGAAUUCCUAGUGUAGCGGUGAAAUGCGUAGAUAUUAGG